UGCAGUCGAACGGUGAAGCCCAGCUUGCUGGGUGGAUCAGUGGCGAACGGGUGAGUAACACGUGAGCAAUCUGCCCCUGACUCUGGGAUAAGCGCUGGAAACGGCGUCUAAUACUGGAUAUGAGCUGCGAUCGCAUGGUCAGUAGCUGGAAAGAUUUUUUGGUCAGGGAUGAGCUCGCGGCCUAUCAGCUUGUUGGUGAGGUAAUGGCUCACCAAGGCGUCGACGGGUAGCCGGCCUGAGAGGGUGACCGGCCACACUGGGACUGAGACACGGCCCAGACUCCUACGGGAGGCAGCAGUGGGGAAUAUUGCACAAUGGGCGCAAGCCUGAUGCAGCAACGCCGCGUGAGGGAUGACGGCCUUCGGGUUGUAAACCUCUUUUAGCAGGGAAGAAGCGAAAGUGACGGUACCUGCAGAAAAAGCGCCGGCUAACUACGUGCCAGCAGCCGCGGUAAUACGUAGGGCGCAAGCGUUAUCCGGAAUUAUUGGGCGUAAAGAGCUCGUAGGCGGUUUGUCGCGUCUGCUGUGAAAUCCCGAGGCUCAACCUCGGGUCUGCAGUGGGUACGGGCAGACUAGAGUGCGGUAGGGGAGAUUGGAAUUCCUGGUGUAGCGGUGGAAUGCGCAGAUAUCAGGAGGAACACCGAUGGCGAAGGCAGAUCUCUGGGCCGUAACUGACGCUGAGGAGCGAAAGGGUGGGGAGCAAACAGGCUUAGAUACCCUGGUAGUCCACCCCGUAAACGUUGGGAACUAG
This 750-nucleotide ribosomal RNA is filed under the name Microbacterium sp. JDM-3-05. RNAcentral's name for it is "bacterial SSU rRNA". It matches the Rfam family "Bacterial small subunit ribosomal RNA", at positions 56 to 819 of the family's 1533-position model. The record is from RNAcentral. Lineage: Bacteria; Bacillati; Actinomycetota; Actinomycetes; Micrococcales; Microbacteriaceae.